UGUCUGCGGAACAAUUGAUGCUCCAGGAGUUGCUGAGCCUGUAAACAACCCAGCAACCUGUGUUAAAGGCUGUGAACUUGCAGGCAAAUGCAAAGUUGGAUGCACCCGCUUAGCAGCAGCUUCUUUUUUUGCUGUUUCCCGACGAUCAGCCUCAAGGAAUGGAUCAUUCACAUCCCCUCGACGGCGCUGAUCAGCAAGAUAGGCAGUUUUCAUAGAUUCAAUGUACUGAUGAAUGUUCUCCACCUUAGAUGCCACAUGAACAAAAAAGUCAUGCACAUUUGACAUGACUUUUGGAAGAGACUGCAAUAAUGAGGAUCCAGGGUAAGAAGAGUUCCCAUCAGAAUCUAAGAGAAGCAGUUGAUCUAACUCUUCAAUCCACUGACGGCAUUCACCCAAAUAUUUCUCAAAUCUGACAACUGUUUGCUGUAUAAAUGGGGACGGUUUCUUAGGGAGCCCACUGUAGAAAUCAAACACUCGCACAGUGGAGGCAGAUGCUGCUUGACCAGCAGAAGGCUGGGACGGUGCAGUGGCAUUUGAACCACCUCCUGUAUUAGGAUGAAGGAACCUAGGGUGUAGCAUCAUGAAAGAACGAACAGCCAUCUCUGUAUUCCGUAACAUUUCUUUAACAUUGAACAUGAGCUCCUGUAAUAGAGCUUUCUGUCUUUCCAUGGCAGUGUUGAUCCCUCCAAGCUCCUGAACGAUAAGGCCUGCAUCGAGCUCAAACCCUUCAUUGGAUACUGAGGAAUCAUAGAGGCGGCUACACUGAUCUAGCCUUUGGCUCUCAUCCCUAUACUCCAAUAUCUGCUCCUCGAUUUGGAGUAGAAGUUUCUGGGAAUCCGGAUGGAGAUCUGCCCACUUGGUGCUGUA
This 867-nucleotide unclassified non-coding RNA is filed under the name Hevea brasiliensis (rubber tree). Lineage: Eukaryota; Viridiplantae; Streptophyta; Magnoliopsida; Malpighiales; Euphorbiaceae. The record is from RNAcentral.